RNAcentral lists this ribosomal RNA (801 nucleotides) under Amanita orienticrocea. Its description in RNAcentral is "eukaryotic LSU rRNA". It matches the Rfam family "Eukaryotic large subunit ribosomal RNA", at positions 131 to 908 of the family's 3401-position model. Lineage: Eukaryota; Fungi; Basidiomycota; Agaricomycetes; Agaricales; Amanitaceae. The record is from RNAcentral.
UGGCUGUCCGAGUUGUAACCUAGAGAAGUGCUUACCUGCGCUGGACCAUGUAUAAGUCUCCUGGAAUGGAGCAUCACAGAGGGUGAGAAUCCUGUCUUUGACAUGGACUGCCAGUGUGUUGUGGUGUGCUCUCAAAGAGUCGAGUUGUUUGGGAAUGCAGCUCUAAAUGGGUGGUAAACUCCAUCUAAAGCUAAAUACUGGCGAGAGACCGAUAGUGAACAAGUACCGUGAGGGAAAGAUGAAAAGGACUUUGGAAAGAGAGUUAAACAGUAUGUGAAAUUGUUGAAAGGGAAACGCUUGAAGUCAGUUAUGUUGGCUAGGGAUCAACCUAGCUAUUUUUCUGGGUGAUUUUCCUAGUCUGACAGGCCAACAUCAGUCUUGGCUGCUGGAAAAGAGCAGAGGGAAUGUGGCACCUUUGGGUGUGUUAUAGCCCUUUGUCAUAUGUGGCAGUUGGGACUGAGGGAUGCAGCGUGCCGCGAGGCUGGGUUUUUUUUGACCACGUUCACGCUUAGGAUGUUGGCUUUUAAUGGCUUCAAUCGACCCGUCUUGAAACACGGACCAAGGAGUCUAACAUGCCUGCGAGUGUUUGGGUGGGGAAAACCCUUGUGCACAAUGAAAGUGAAAGUUGAGAUCCCUGUCAUGGGGAGCAUCGACGCCUGGACCUGAGCUUUUAGCAAUGGAUCCACGGUAGAGCAUGCAUGUUGGGACCCGAAAGAUGGUGAACUAUGCCUGAAUAGGGCAAAGCCAGAGGAAACUCUGGUGGAGGCUCGUAGCGAUUCUGACGUGCAAAUCGAUCGUCAA